Molecule: long non-coding RNA, 400 nt
Organism: Myotis brandtii (Brandt's bat)
Lineage: Eukaryota; Metazoa; Chordata; Mammalia; Chiroptera; Vespertilionidae
Exons: 3
Source: RefSeq, a predicted model, not a curated record
UGUCCCUCCGGGCAAAUUCCCUCGCUAGACCGCAACAGCUGCAAGGGGGCAGGGCUCGCCGGGAGCCAGGAGUCUGCCUACCAACAAGGCCACAGGCUGCAGGCUCCCCAGCGACCAAAUGCUCGGGUUCCUGAUCUCAGCAAAACGCAGAUGAUCACGCCUAAAGCUCGCAAGGGCGGCCGGUAUCCCCACGGGGGCCCGGGAGGAAGCCGGAAGACGAGUUCGGAUUAGGCCGCUCAAGCACAUCACACCGCUCCCCGCUCCCCGUGACCAGUGGAGUCCGUGUGCAGAGCGUGCAGUCGGGAUGGCCCACGAGCCACAGAAAACAACUUACACGGAGACCUGCCCACUCAGCAGCCCACAGCCGGCGCCGCGCGAGGAGCCACAGGCUGGCGGGGCG